GACGAACGCUGGCGGCGUGCUUAACACAUGCAAGUCGAACGGGAAGGCCCUGCUUUUGUGGGGUGCUCGAGUGGCGAACGGGUGAGUAACACGUGAGUAACCUGCCCUUGACUUUGGGAUAACUUCAGGAAACUGGGGCUAAUACCGGAUAGGAGCUCCUGCUGCAUGGUGGGGGUUGGAAGGUUUCGGCGGUUGGGGAUGGACUCGCGGCUUAUCAGCUUGUUGGUGGGGUAGUGGCUUACCAAGGCUUUGACGGGUAGCCGGCCUGAGAGGGUGACCGGCCACAUUGGGACUGAGAUACGGCCCAGACUCCUACGGGAGGCAGCAGUGGGGAAUAUUGCACAAUGGGCGGAAGCCUGAUGCAGCAACGCCGCGUGCGGGAUGACGGCCUUCGGGUUGUAAACCGCUUUCGCCUGUGACGAAGCGUGAGUGACGGUAAUGGGUAAAGAAGCACCGGCUAACUACGUG
RNAcentral lists this ribosomal RNA (468 nucleotides) under uncultured bacterium. RNAcentral describes it as "partial 16S ribosomal RNA". It matches the Rfam family "Bacterial small subunit ribosomal RNA", at positions 28 to 507 of the family's 1533-position model. The record is from RNAcentral.